AAAUAUGAACAUAAUAAAUUACCAGUGCAAAACUGUCAUAAAAAAUAAAAGUAAUAAAGGACAAAAUAUAUAAUUCAUUUUCUCUAUGCAAUUUAUCAUUUCUAUUUUUUUCUUAAUUUGGAUGUUAGUUGUGACUCAGACAGGUUUAGUGAGAUUCCCCCACAUAUAAGCUUGAAAUAAUCCACAGGUAUCAGGAUUUACUGGCAGUGUGCAGUACGGUAUUGUGUUAAACGACCAAAGGGUAUGUCUUGCCAGUAUAAAACACCUUGUUUUACAGUUAGUAGCUAAAUAAUGUGUUUGCACAAUUCUAUGGGUACAGGUCAGCCUGUUCUGUUACGAAGACUUGAUUAUAAACAGUGUUAUAUUUUUUGUACAUUUUAUUGUAACAUGCUUUUUUGUAGAGAAAGACUUUGAGGAGAGUUUUUGCUUUUUAAACGUUUGACUUUGACCACUUCCCUGGAAACACAACUCAACCGGACAUUCCUUGCUUCUGGAACCUUGUCAGAAAACCUUUACAUUUUCUCUUCCAAAGGUAACAAAGCACAAAGCCUAUGGCAGUCCUUAGCUUUAAAAAAAUAAAAAUAAAUAAUAAAUAAAUAGUACAGUUAAUUGCUUUUAUUCACUUCCCCUCACAUUUUAAGCUCUAUUCUUAAUAUAUUGUCGCCACACAGAUGCCAAAGGUUUUCUGUUCCCCAUACAACUCUUAUCCCAAACAGAGCAAUGUUGUAUGAUCUUUUCAGGUUUAAUCAGAUGAACUGGUUUUGUUUAGUCAGCUGGCUGUUAUGAUCUGAUUUUUCUGACAGUGCCAGCGGAAGGUGAAUCUAAUAACCUGAGCAUCUGUCAGGCAGCCAGGAUCAUAUUGGAUUACAUCAAAACCAAUCCUGACAUCUUUCCUAUCGCACAGGUCCCAUCACAUAGAAUAACUGCAAUAGAGCCAAAUUAUUCCUGUACAUUGAAAGUCAUACAUAAGUCAUUUAUGACACGUUUACUUAAAAUUGACAUCAUAAACUAUGUGACUGCUUAGAGCUGAUUUUUGCUUUUUUGAACUAUUUAUGUAUGCCAUAAGAUUGUUCACCUGUUGUCGCUAUUUUUCUGGAACUUCUGCAGACCUUUGAUAAAAUGUGAAUGUGAAUGAAGAGGAAAAUCUCUCAUUUGGCUCUUGACUGUGUUAUUGUGGUCAGACUAGUAAUUUUGCAUAGGGAUGUUGUAUAUGUGAGCUAGUGCGUCAGUGCUAGACUGCCACUGGAAAAAAAUAGUCUUAUGCAAUCACAAAGGAACAAACAAUUGAUUUUGCCUACUUCAGAUGACAGAGUCUGGCUAUUUUAAGGUUUAUGUUAAAGACAUGCACAUUAAUACAGAAGAAAACCUGAAUGUUUUUGGAAUUUUGCGAUUCCAUUAUCCUCACAAACCCACAAUCUCUCAGAUGGACAGUUAGUUACAAGCUGCUGGUAAACAACUCAGAUACUCAAAUGUCUUUUCUGCUCUCGCUAAUCACAUUUAUAUGGACAAUUGUAAAUCUCUGUGUACAUUAUUUCACACUUCUGUAGCUUAUUGUAAAUGUGGGUCAGUUUGCAUUGUGGAGAGCAGAACCCUGUCAAUGGGUGUUUGUAUGCUCAGGACCGGCUAAUCUCUGAUGUACUUGAGACACAACCACUUGUGCAAUUAAAGUGAU
Long non-coding RNA from Cyprinus carpio carpio, 1672 nucleotides. The record is from Ensembl. NCBI's taxonomy places the organism in Eukaryota, Metazoa, Chordata, Actinopteri, Cypriniformes, Cyprinidae.